RNAcentral lists this long non-coding RNA (267 nucleotides) under Gallus gallus (chicken). Its description in RNAcentral is "long non-coding RNA NONGGAT004441". The record is from RNAcentral. Lineage: Eukaryota; Metazoa; Chordata; Aves; Galliformes; Phasianidae.
GGAGCAGUGGCAGAAUCACCCCCUGCACGUAUAAAACCUGCCAUUAAGGAGCAGAGUGACCCAGGAGUGAUGCAAACAGGACAGGCAAACAGGACAUGGCACAUCAGAAGGGUGUGGUGCAGCAGUUUAUGCAGACAGUUCACACAAGACUCCUUACACAGGCCACUUAAGCAGAGAGACAAAAGCUAUCAGAAAAUCUACCCAGUGUUCUGUUUAAUCUGGUACCAAGACACCAGGUCAUUGUCAAGGAAAACCAUUAAGAAAUGG